UACGUACGAGGCGAGCGUUAUCCGGAAUUACUGGGCGUAAAGCGCACGUAGGCGGCUUUUUAAGUCAGGGGGUGAAAUCCCGGGGCUCAACCCCCGGAACUGCCCUUGAAACUGGAGAGCUAGAAUCUUGGAGAGGCGAGUGGAAUUCCGAGUGUAGAGGUGAAAUUCGUAGAUAUUCGGAAGAACACCAGUGGCGAAGGCGGCUCACUGGCCCGAUACUGACGCUGAGGCACGAAAGCGUGGGGAGCAAACAGG
RNAcentral lists this ribosomal RNA (255 nucleotides) under uncultured bacterium. Its description in RNAcentral is "partial 16S ribosomal RNA". It matches the Rfam family "Bacterial small subunit ribosomal RNA", at positions 524 to 776 of the family's 1533-position model. The record is from RNAcentral.